RNAcentral lists this ribosomal RNA (326 nucleotides) under uncultured eukaryote. RNAcentral's name for it is "partial 18S ribosomal RNA". It matches the Rfam family "Eukaryotic small subunit ribosomal RNA", at positions 1470 to 1796 of the family's 1831-position model. The record is from RNAcentral.
CCCUUAGAUGUUCUGGGCCGCACGCGCGCUACACUGACGAUGGCAACGAGUUUUUCCUUCGCCGAAAGGUGUGGGUAAUCUUUUGAAACAUCGUCGUGCUGGGGAUAGAUCAUUGCAAUUUUUGAUCUUGAACGAGGAAUUCCUAGUAAGCGCGAGUCAUCAGCUCGCGUUGAUUACGUCCCUGCCCUUUGUACACACCGCCCGUCGCUACUACCGAUUGAAUGGUCCGGUGAGGCUUUGGGAUCUGGGCGGAAAGAGCGUUUCGCUGUUUCUGCCCGGAAAACUCAGUCGAACCUUAUCAUUUAGAGGAAGGAGAAGUCGUAACA